AAUGGCUUGAGAAUUCAUAUUUCGUCUUGUCUUGUGCUUUACCAAGUAAUCCUUGACCAUGCCAAAGCCAUAACGUGCCAGCUGGAACUCAUCUACUUGAGGUGGCUGCAACUGGUUAUUUCUUCUCGCCGGUCCGUGUUGAUGUCAGUGCAAGAAACCCGGGGAAGGUUCAAGCUGCACUGACUGAAACCAGAAGAGGUCUAGCUGAGUUGUCGUUGGAGCCUUUGAGAGAGGAAGAUUACUAUGAG
Beta vulgaris subsp. vulgaris (sugar beet) is the source of this 248-nucleotide long non-coding RNA. RefSeq lists it as uncharacterized. The transcript is spliced from 2 exons. Lineage: Eukaryota; Viridiplantae; Streptophyta; Magnoliopsida; Caryophyllales; Amaranthaceae. The record is from RefSeq and is a predicted model, not a curated record.